This 298-nucleotide signal recognition particle RNA is filed under the name Amphiprion percula (orange clownfish). RNAcentral's name for it is "Metazoan signal recognition particle RNA (ENSAPEG00000024688.1)". It matches the Rfam family "Metazoan signal recognition particle RNA". From Rfam's summary of the family: The signal recognition particle (SRP) is a universally conserved ribonucleoprotein. It is involved in the co-translational targeting of proteins to membranes. Lineage: Eukaryota; Metazoa; Chordata; Actinopteri; Pomacentridae. The record is from RNAcentral.
GCCGGGUGCGGUGGCGCGCGCCUGUAAUCCAAGCUACCGGGAGGCUGAGGCUGGAGGAUCGUUUGAGCUCAGGAGCUCUGAGCUGCAGCGGACUAUGCCGAUCGGGUGUCCGCGCUAAGUUCGAUAUCGAUAUGGUGCUCCUGGGGGAGCCCGGGACCACCAGGUCGUCUAAGGAGGGGUGCACCGGCCCAGGUCGGAGACGGAGCAGGUCAAAGCCCCCGUGCCGCUCAGUAGUGGGAUCGCGCCUGUGAAUAGACGCUGUAGUGCAGCCUGAAUAAUACAGCGAGACCCAGUCUUU